RNAcentral lists this ribosomal RNA (459 nucleotides) under uncultured bacterium. RNAcentral describes it as "partial 16S ribosomal RNA". It matches the Rfam family "Bacterial small subunit ribosomal RNA", at positions 338 to 795 of the family's 1533-position model. The record is from RNAcentral.
CCUACGGGUGGCUGCAGUGAGGAAUAUUGGUCAAUGGGCGAGAGCCUGAACCAGCCAAGUCGCGUGAGGGAGUACUGCCCUAUGGGUUGUAAACCUCUUUUGUCGGGGAGCAAAAGCCGGACGUGUCCGGCUGUGAGAGUACCCGAAGAAAAAGCAUCGGCUAACUCCGUGCCAGCAGCCGCGGUAAUACGGAGGAUGCGAGCGUUAUCCGGAUUUAUUGGGUUUAAAGGGGGCGCAAGCGGAUUUUUAAGUCAGCGGUCAAAUCGUGGGGCUCAACGUGGGAACUGCCUUUGAAACUGGCAGACUGGAGUGUGUGAGAGGAUAGUGGAAUUCCAGGUGUAGGAGUGAAAUCCGUAGAUAUCUGGAGGAACAUCAGUGGCGAAGGCGACUAUCUGGCACAUAACUGACGCUGAGGAGCGAAAGCGUGGGUAGCAAACAGGAUUAGAUACCCGUGUAGUC